GCCUGGAGGAGCUGGUGUGGCUAGAACACAUGGGCUGCACUGCAAAUCCCAGCUUGUGGAGACAGAGAUGCCAGAGCUGGCCUUGGGAUGAACCUGCUGGAUGUCCAGGUACUGGGUGAGGCCACCUGCUCCAGGAUCUGAGUGAGGGAGAGAUGUGCUCACACCAAAAUGCCACUUUUGGGGCAUGGAGUGCAAAACUUGGUUGGACUGUGUGGACACUAAACCCUCUCAGACACUUCUCCUCCAGGACACUGUAGAAAGAGAAUCUGUCAGGCGCAAGAAAUUCCUUCCUGGCCCAGAGAAGCUGUGGCUGCCCCUGGAUCCCUGGCAGUGUCCAAGGUCAGGCUGGACAGGCUUGGAGCACCCUGGGAUCGUGGAAGGUAUCCCUGAUCAUGGCAGCGGGUGGCAUGGGAUGGGCUUUAAGGUCCCUUUAAACCCAAAUUAUUCUGUGAUUUCACAAUCCUGAACAGCAUCUUCACCUCAACUUCCCACAAAGAAAUUUGCCAUCUUCCCUCAAAAAUGGAAACAGGAAGAAGAAAUCAACUGUUGUCUUUGUUGCUGAAACCCGUGGGAGGCAGGACCCUGAUGGCGAUUUAUCAUCUCACUCCUGGCUCAGGUGAGCAUGGGGCAGGUACAGCUUGUCACCCACAGCAGCAGGGUCUCUGCUUCAGUCAUUCUCCACUCUGGUUCUAAGGCUGUUCUGAUGUAUUUAUCUUUAGUUUGUUGCUCUAAUCUUGUCGACAGGAAACAAUAAAAUAUCCUCUAAGAUUAAUAUGUGAGAUGAGAGAUCCAAUUAGAGCUCACAUCCUUCAAUCCUUACGGGUAAGAGCCCCUAUUACACAAUAACUAUGGGUGGGAGGAGGCCCUGUUUGAUCAAUUUGUUCCAGUUCUUGGUUAUGAAUAGUUCAGGGAAUGAAACAGUGACAGACGAAGGCAUAAUUCCCAGAUCAGAGAAGAAUUAGAGAUCUGUAGGGUAGAAUACAGGUAUUUCUCGACAUAGCACCAAACCAGAGAUGAACAGCACAAUGUAGAUUUGACACUUUUAUUAACAAAGAACCCAUGGGGCUCAUUCAUUAGUACAAAAUACAAUCAUGUUCCUGUAUGUUAAACAGCUUUUUUUAUUUUGUCUCUUUUAAACUGUUUCACAGUUAUCAAAACAAAGCCCCUGCAUAUUGAACUUAUUAUUGUGCAAACAGUAAUUAUUUUUAAGGAUCAAUUUCUGCACUAAGCCAAGUGCCAGAGAGCAGAACUUAAUCAUGUUUUCACCCCUCCUUUGAAGGGCCAUGUGUGCUUCCUAAGAAACACGUAAUAGUUGACUUUUUUUGCAGCAAACAAUCUAAGGCCACAGUUUAUCUGCAAAGAAUAGAAAACAACUCAAAGACUUUAG
Molecule: long non-coding RNA, 1387 nt
Organism: Motacilla alba alba
Lineage: Eukaryota; Metazoa; Chordata; Aves; Passeriformes; Motacillidae
Exons: 3
Source: RefSeq, a predicted model, not a curated record